AGUUUCGAAAAAAGCUCCUGCUUCUGCUGCACCCAAUCCCUCACACAGAAAAAGUUUAAGAUUAUGAAGAAAAUGUAACGGUCACUUUUUGGGGAAACGUACGUGGCUGCACGAAAAAUUGUUGAACGAAUAAAAUGACUUAAAUGUGGUCGUUCGUCUUGUGGACUCUGUGGUGUUGGUGUGGAGGCUCAAGGCUCCCCAUGCUGCUGUUUGGCAGAUAAACAGCAUCCCCUUUCAUUGGAGGAACUACCGAUGUCGGAUCGAGUUACGGAUGUCUUCUUCCCCUUUCGUUCAAUCCACUCUGUCCUCGUGUACACCCAUGUGAGUGUGGGUGUAUUCACGAGGGCCCCCAUUUUCCUAUCCCGCCUGGUGUAAUUCUACUUUGAUGGUCUAAGCACCUGUGGAUGCCCGGCCGUAUUUCGCAGGCUUUAAGAUAUUUGGAAGACCUAAAUAAAAAGACGCAUCGCCAAGUUCGUGUACCUGCACCUUUAAAUCUCCCCUUGGUUUGCAUGGCUUUUCGCUGUUCAAUCGACGAAUUCAAAUAGAAUGCGAUGCUAUAACGAGGAGGUAGAUGAAGAACCCCGAAAAAACGAGUUUAUUUCGGCCUAAAUGAGUGACGAAUCGCGUGUUUAAUCAGUCAUGACUUAGUAUGAGUACGAUAUUAUUCCUGAGCUGCUUAUUCGGAACUGCUUCUCUUGUAUUUCACAACUUUGCCUUUUGCGUUUGCUAAACAACCACAGAAUUCACACGACGAUCACAUUUUUCUAAUUUGAUUUGUUGUGCAAUUUUACGUGCAGCCACGUACGUUUCAAAAAAAAGUUAUGUGUCCAUUUUUGUAUAAAUCUUAUUAAACUUCGUCUCUUUUUUCCAAAACUGGUGAACAAGACUAGAGCAGACGACACUAAUAUUCUAAAUAGAAGAUAUCGAUUACAAUUAAAAAUCGACCCCCCCCCGCCAAAUUCAAACCUAUUACCUUAUCUUAUUUUUAUUGUAUUCUUUUCCAUGCACCAGUCCAAUCUUCAU
Molecule: long non-coding RNA, 1023 nt
Organism: Daphnia pulicaria
Lineage: Eukaryota; Metazoa; Arthropoda; Branchiopoda; Diplostraca; Daphniidae
Exons: 3
Source: RefSeq, a predicted model, not a curated record